This 315-nucleotide unclassified non-coding RNA is filed under the name plant metagenome. RNAcentral's name for it is "partial contains 5.8S ribosomal RNA, internal transcribed spacer 2, and large subunit ribosomal RNA". The stretch from base 1 to 105 matches the Rfam family "5.8S ribosomal RNA", at positions 50 to 154 of the family's 154-position model. The record is from RNAcentral.
AAAAUGCGAUAAGUAAUGUGAGUUGCAGAAUUCAGUGAAUCAUCGAAUCUUUGAACGCACAUUGCGCCCGCCAGUAUUCUGGCGGGCAUGCCUGUUCGAGCGUCAUUUCAACCCUCAAGCCCCCGGGUUUGGUGUUGGGGAUCGGGCUGCGGUUCUACCGCGUCCCGGCCCCGAAAUCUAGUGGCGGUCUCGCUGCAGCCUCCAUUGCGUAGUAGCUAACACCUCGCAACUGGAACGCGGCGCGGCCAAGCCGUUAAACCCCCAACUUCUGAAUGUUGACCUCGGAUCAGGUAGGGAUACCCGCUGAACUUAAGC